This 396-nucleotide ribosomal RNA is filed under the name Escherichia coli. Its description in RNAcentral is "partial 23S ribosomal RNA". It matches the Rfam family "Bacterial large subunit ribosomal RNA", at positions 2531 to 2925 of the family's 2925-position model. The record is from RNAcentral. Lineage: Bacteria; Pseudomonadati; Pseudomonadota; Gammaproteobacteria; Enterobacterales; Enterobacteriaceae.
GUCGGCUCAUCGCAUCCUGGGGCUGUAGUCGGUCCCAAGGGUUGGGCUGUUCGCCCAUUAAAGCGGUACGCGAGCUGGGUUCAGAACGUCGUGAGACAGUUCGGUCCCUAUCCGUCGCGGGCGCAGGAAAUUUGAGAGGAGCUGUCCUUAGUACGAGAGGACCGGGAUGGACGCACCGCUGGUGUACCAGUUGUUCUGCCAAGGGCAUCGCUGGGUAGCUAUGUGCGGACGGGAUAAGUGCUGAAAGCAUCUAAGCAUGAAGCCCCCCUCAAGAUGAGAUUUCCCAUUCCGCAAGGAAGUAAGAUCCCUGAAAGAUGAUCAGGUUGAUAGGUCUGAGGUGGAAGCGUGGUGACACGUGGAGCUGACAGAUACUAAUAGAUCGAGGACUUAACCUAU